UCUCCGUAGGUGAACCUGCGGAGGGAUCAUUACUGAGUGAGGGUCUCCGGGCCCGACCUCCAACCCUUUUGUGAACCACCUCGUUGCUUCGGGGGCGACCCUGCCGUUCGCGGCGUGGGGCCCCCGGAGCCCAUCAAACCCUGCAUUCUCUGCGUCGGAGUAUUAGUAAAUCUAAUCAAAACUUUCAACAACGGAUCUCUUGGUUCUGGCAUCGAUGAAGAACGCAGC
Molecule: unclassified non-coding RNA, 228 nt
Filed under: uncultured fungus
Lineage: Eukaryota; Fungi
Description: sequence contains ITS1, 5.8S rRNA gene
Rfam family: 5.8S ribosomal RNA (bases 180-228)
Source: RNAcentral